UACGUAGGUGGCAAGCGUUGUCCGGAAUUAUUGGGCGUAAAGGAUGCGUAGGCGGUCCUUUAAGUGGGAUGUGAAAUCCCUGGGCUUAACCCAGGAAUUGCAUUCCAAACUGGAGGACUAGAGUGCAGGAGAGGAAAGUGGAAUUCCCAGUGUAGCGGUGAAAUGCGUAGAGAUUGGGAGGAACACCAGUGGCGAAGGCGGCUUUCUGGACUGUAACUGACGCUGAGGCAUGAAAGCGUGGGGAGCAAAC
This 250-nucleotide ribosomal RNA is filed under the name uncultured bacterium. RNAcentral describes it as "partial 16S ribosomal RNA". It matches the Rfam family "Bacterial small subunit ribosomal RNA", at positions 524 to 773 of the family's 1533-position model. The record is from RNAcentral.